AUUCAUUUUUCUCCCUCGCCCUCCAUCCAAGGCCCUUUGGAGGUCCUUUCUCUUCCAUUUUCCUUCCAGAUUGCAAAAUUCUGUUCAAUUAUCCCUCAUUUUAUACAAAAACAAAAAAUAUUUUAUUUUCCAUUUGUUUUACUUAAUUACUUUUCUGUUUGUUUCUCAGCAGAGAUACUGCUUCUUCUCUGCUUGUUUACAGAAUCAUCCAGUUUGAGAUGAUGUCGACUAAUUCUUCCACCUCCCAGAAGGACAAGAAAAGAAAUUUUCCUCCUAAGAGAGGCCAGAUCAAAGCUCAGAUUUUUCAAAGCUUGACCAAAACUGUAAGCUCUUGGGUCACCAAGGCAGGGGAAGCUCUGAAAAGAGACAGAGGACAUGGUGGAGAUGGAGGAAUUUCUUCUUCUACUGCUGCAACCUCACCUUUCAGCACCUACAACUCGGAUGGAUAAAUUCCUUGUUCCAUCACUUUUCAAGUCUAUCUCUAAAGCUGUGAUUUCAUUGUUUUUAACUUGGAUCGCAGCACCUACGUCUAUUAUCACGUGAUUAGAAAGUCCCUGCAUUAACUGAUAGUAAUUUGACCCAGUUUUUGGCAGGGCUAUAAGCCAACUGUGUCUGUUCUAUAGGUCAGGUCAAUAGAUAUGUUGCUCCGGCGUAACUCAUAUUUGUGGAAGUUACAGCAGGAGUAUAACCCUUUUAUUUAUGUUUGUUUUCUAGGCCAUUGUCUUGUAUAUAUGGCUUCUCCAUAUAUUCUCAGUUCUUCUUUUGCUGGGGCAGCUUCAAAAAAAAUAGACACUCUUCUACUAUUGUCAUUUUCCACAGUUUUUGGAGAGGAGAUGACAUACUCGGAAGAGGAUAGUCGUAAUCUUGGCUUGGGGCGUCUUUGGCUUGUAUUUCCGUUGGUGUGUCGUGUGUAGUUGUUAUGCUAUGUGAAAUAUAGUUUAUUUCGAUGCU
Long non-coding RNA from Hevea brasiliensis (rubber tree), 951 nucleotides. RefSeq lists it as uncharacterized. Lineage: Eukaryota; Viridiplantae; Streptophyta; Magnoliopsida; Malpighiales; Euphorbiaceae. The transcript is spliced from 2 exons. The record is from RefSeq and is a predicted model, not a curated record.